AGAGUUUGAUCAUGGCUCAGGAUGAACGCUGGCGGCGUGCCUAACACAUGCAAGUCGAACGGACUUUUCAUGAAGCCUAGCGAUUGAAAAGUUAGUGGCGGACGGGUGAGUAACGCGUGGGUAACCUGCCUUGUACUGGGGGACAACAGUUGGAAACGACUGCUAAUACCGCAUAAGCGCACAGCUUCGCAUGAAGCAGUGUGAAAACUCCGGUGGUACAAGAUGGACCCGCGUCUGAUUAGCUGGUUGGUGAGGUAACGGCCACCAAGGCGACGAUCAGUAGCCGGCCUGAGAGGGUGAACGGCCACAUUGGGACUGAGACACGGCCCAAACUCCCUACGGGAGCA
Molecule: ribosomal RNA, 347 nt
Filed under: uncultured bacterium
Lineage: Bacteria
Description: bacterial SSU rRNA
Rfam family: Bacterial small subunit ribosomal RNA
Source: RNAcentral